RNAcentral lists this long non-coding RNA (233 nucleotides) under Elaeis guineensis (African oil palm). RNAcentral's name for it is "long non-coding RNA (EGUI_LNC000061)". Lineage: Eukaryota; Viridiplantae; Streptophyta; Magnoliopsida; Arecales; Arecaceae. The record is from RNAcentral.
CAAGUCGUCCUCAACUCCUUUGUUGUCUUUCUUAUGGAGAUAGCCCUGGUGGUAGCAUCUGUGAGCGUGGUAGAGGGGACAUUGUUCGGGUGGUGGGGGGCUGAGAAAGAGGAUAGACGGACGAGUUUUUAGAUGUGGGGCACUUGCUCGAGCCUUGGCCGGAGCACCGACCACCAACAACCUCGGAGGUGCUGGCAUCUAAGAGAAGAGGAGGAUGGGAAGGACUAGGAAGA